GAUGAAGAACGUAGCAAAAUGCGAUAAGUAAUGUGAAUUGCAGAAUUCAGUGAAUCAUCGAAUCUUUGAACGCACAUUGCGCCCGCCAGUAUUCUGGCGGGCAUGCCCGUUCGAGCGUCAUUUCAACCCUCAAGCACAGCUUGGUGUUGGGACUCGCGUUAAUUCGCGUUCCCCAAAUUGAUUGGCGGUCACGUCGAGCUUCCAUAGCGUAGUAGUAAAACCCUCGUUACUGGUAAUCGUCGCGGCCACGCCGUUAAACCCCAACUUCUGAAUGUUGACCUCGGAUCAGGUAGGAAUACCCGCUGAACUUAAGCAUAUCAAAAGCGGAGGA
RNAcentral lists this unclassified non-coding RNA (331 nucleotides) under soil metagenome. RNAcentral describes it as "partial contains 5.8S ribosomal RNA, internal transcribed spacer 2, and large subunit ribosomal RNA". The stretch from base 1 to 120 matches the Rfam family "5.8S ribosomal RNA", at positions 35 to 154 of the family's 154-position model. The record is from RNAcentral.